UCCCUGGUGGUCCAGUGUUUAGGACUCAGCAUUCACAUUGCCAAGGGCCCAGGUUCAAUCCCUGGUCAGGAAA
This is a non-coding RNA of Bos taurus (domestic cattle), 73 nucleotides long. The record is from Rfam. NCBI's taxonomy places the organism in Eukaryota, Metazoa, Chordata, Mammalia, Artiodactyla, Bovidae.